This 496-nucleotide ribosomal RNA is filed under the name uncultured bacterium. RNAcentral describes it as "partial 16S ribosomal RNA". It matches the Rfam family "Bacterial small subunit ribosomal RNA", at positions 28 to 507 of the family's 1533-position model. The record is from RNAcentral.
GACGAACGCUGGCGGCGUGCCUAAUACAUGCAAGUUGAGCGCUGAAGGUUGGUCCUUGUACCAACUGGCUGAGCAGCGAACGGGUGAGUAACGCGUGGGGAAUCUGCCUUUGAGCGGGGGACAACAUUUGGAAACGAAUGCUAUACCGCAUAAAAACUUUAAACACAAGUUUUAAGUUUGAAAGAUGCAAUUGCAUCACUCAAAGAUGAUCCCGCGUUGUAUUAGCUAGUUGGUGAGGUAAAGGCUCACCAAGGCGAUGAUACAUAGCCGACCUGCGAGGGUGAGCGGCCACAUUGGGACUGAGACACGGCCCAAACUCCUGCGGGAGGCAGCAGUAGGGAAUCUUCGGCAAUGGACGAGAGUCUGACCGAGCAACGCCGCGUGAGUGAAGAAGGUUUUCGGAUCGGAAAACUCUGUUGGUAGAGAAGAACGUUGGUGAGAGUGGAAAGCUCAUCAAGUGACGGUAACUACCCAGAAAGGGACGGCUAACUACGUG